UGCAAACUCAGUAUGAGUUACAGGCAACAGUGUGACAUGACAGACAAAAACAAAGCUAAUAAAAUUUCAGAUUAUAUUAAAAGAAACUGUACAGAACAAGGAAGGUGAUAAUCCUACAGUGCCCUAUCUCAGCAGAAUAAAUUUGGAGUAUUGUGUUCAAUCCUGGGAAUCAUAUUUUAGGAGGAUCAUUAACAGAGAAUUAUGCUCAACAUGGUUUGGACUGGAACCAUGACAUGUCAUGAUCAGUUAAGUGAACUAGGGAUGUUUUUUCCUAGAGAAGAAGACUCAAAAAAAACCCCAACAACAAAAGCUGUCUUUUCUGACACUGCCAUCCACCCAGAUCCAAGACCUACAUUUCCACACUCCUGGACUACUGCAAUAGCCUUUUCUGAAAUGUCAAGAGGAUGAAAGAGAUAUGGGCUGGGUUCUCAGCUUCUCAGAAAGGAAGCAAACACACGGCUGGAAUUACUGAUGCUGUCAUUGGUAUUAAUGUAGGUGGUCACUUCUGUUAACUUAUUAGCCAAAAGAUUAUGUUCCUGUUAAAAAUGGGAAAAAAGAGAGAAAAACAGAAACAGUAAACUCUUAGUAAGAAAACUGGAAAAUAGACUUAUC
RNAcentral lists this long non-coding RNA (612 nucleotides) under Monodelphis domestica (gray short-tailed opossum). Its description in RNAcentral is "lncRNA (ENSMODG00000046920.1)". The record is from RNAcentral. Lineage: Eukaryota; Metazoa; Chordata; Mammalia; Didelphimorphia; Didelphidae.